GGUGGUCAAUUAGGUAAGGCCACCACAUCGUGCCGUUGGCCUGUUUAAUGUUUAUAUCUGCUUCAUUCACCUACCCAUUUCCAUUAUCGAGGGAAAAACUUUGUCCCUGGAUAUCUUCGUCUUCUCCUUUGGCUUCUCUCUUCCUUCCGAUCCAGAUUCCUGUCAUCAGCGGAGCCGCAGCCGUCAUACUUUGGAGAAAAGAGGAAGAUCAGAAGAGGGUUAUUGGACAUGGCUACUGACUCCCUUUCAAGAAUUGGCCUUGCAGGCCUUGCUGUUAUGGGACAGAACCUUGCCCUCAACAUUGCCGAGAAAGGAUUUCCCAUCUCUGUAUACAACAGAACUACCUCCAAGGUUGACGAGACUGUUGAGAGGGCCAAACAGGAAGGAAACCUUCCUCUAAGAGGCUUCCAUGACCCCAAAUCCUUUGUCCUCUCCAUCCAGAAACCCAGAGUCAUUAUCAUGCUUGUUAAGGCUGGCGCUCCGGUCGAUCAGACCAUCCAAACCCUCUCUGUUCACAUGGAGAAAGGCGAUUGCAUUAUUGAUGGUGGCAAUGAGUGGUAUGAGAACACUGAGAGAAGGGAGAAAGCCAUGAACGACUUGGGUCUCCUGUAUCUUGGUAUGGGUGUCUCAGGUGGAGAAGAGGGCGCACGCCACGGCCCAUCUCUCAUGCCUGGAGGUUCCUUUGAGGCCUACAAGAACAUUGAAGAUAUCCUCCUAAAGGUUGCUGCUCAGGUCCCUGACAGUGGACCGUGUGUCACCUAUAUUGGCAAAGGUGGAUCAGGAAACUUCGUUAAGAUGGUACACAAUGGCAUUGAGUAUGGUGACAUGCAGCUGAUUGCUGAAGCAUAUGAUGUUCUAAAAACCGUUGGCAAGCUCUCUAACGAAGAAUUGCACGAGGUCUUUGCCGAGUGGAACAAGGGGGAGCUUCUUAGUUUCUUGAUUGAGAUAACUGCUGAUAUUUUCAGCAUCAAGGAUGAUAAGGGGGAAGGUUAUUUGGUAGAUAAGGUGUUAGAUAAGACUGGAAUGAAGGGCACUGGAAAAUGGACAGUACAGCAGGCUGCUGAAUUGUCUGUUGCAGCACCCACCAUUGCUUCUUCUUUAGAUUCUAGGUUUCUUAGUGGGUUGAAGGAUGAAAGAGUAAAUGCAGCAAAGGUUUUCAAGGAUGGUGGCCUUGGUGAUGGUCUAUGUGAUCAGGUUGUGGACAAGAAACAACUGAUUGACGAUGUGAGACAGGCUCUUUAUGCUUCAAAGAUUUGCAGUUAUGCCCAAGGAAUGAAUCUGAUUCGUGCAAAGAGCAUUGAGAAGGGUUGGGAUCUCAAAUUAGGUGAGCUUGCUAGAAUUUGGAAGGGUGGUUGCAUUAUUCGUGCAGUAUUUUUGGACCGCAUCAAGAAGGCCUAUGACAGGAACCCAGAACUUGCUAGUCUUCUUAUUGAUCCUGAGUUUGCAAAGGAAAUUGUAGACCGACAAUCUGCUUGGCGACGUGUUGUCUCUCUUGCAAUCAACUCGGGUAUUACCACCCCGGGCAUGUGUGCAAGUUUGGCUUAUUUUGAUUCUUACAGGAGGGAAAGGCUAUCUGCAAACCUUGUUCAGGCCCAGCGUGACUAUUUUGGUGCUCAUACAUACGAGAGGAUCGAUGUUGAAGGUUCAUUCCAUACAGAGUGGUUCAAAUUGGCGAAACUUAAGAUCUGAUGAUUUAAUUGUGUUGCAUAUGUAACCUUUCGACUUGAGCAUUUCAAUAACAGCGGAUGAGGAUAUCAAUCAUUUCAUUUGGAUUGAGAAUUGGAAAUUUCAUUCAGCUGUCUAGAGCAUCAUGCUAUGUCGUACUUUACAAGGCAUUCUGCAGUUCAUUUUCCAAAGUUUCUGAUCCUAUUUGGGUAGUACUUGCCAAUAUCAAGCAAUUGCAUUUGUUUAAACUGGGAAGGAUAUGCAGAGCUCUAUGGCCUCCAUUGGAGAAGCAGUUUUUUAACUAUUGCAAGCAAAGGCUUUUCUGGCUACCGACAUUUCUUAAAGAUAAGAAAGAGGCGUUUCCUAGGAGACUUUGACAGGAGCAUACCAUAAGCAUAAUAUUGACACAUAGCUCUUGGUCGAUUAAGAUUCCUAUGAGCCACCUGCCAUUGCCACAAAAUCCACUCUCGAUAUGCUUGGAAGAGCCUGACAAAUGCCGUGCACAAUGAACAGGCUUUUAUCGUGGUCUGGAACAAGUAUGAGUGGAACAGGAAUGAGAAAAUUCAUAUAUCCAGGUUAGGAUUGGGCUGACUUGAGUGGCCAUAUUGAGUUGUCAGGUUGAACUUUGAACAGGACUAGGCAUAACCAGGUUGGAUGCAAUUAGAUAUCAUAUACACGAAUCUGU
Nymphaea colorata (pocket water lily) is the source of this 2350-nucleotide RNA transcript. It is a transcript of the gene named 6-phosphogluconate dehydrogenase, decarboxylating 1, with no coding region annotated. NCBI's taxonomy places the organism in Eukaryota, Viridiplantae, Streptophyta, Magnoliopsida, Nymphaeales, Nymphaeaceae. The transcript is spliced from 3 exons. The record is from RefSeq and is a predicted model, not a curated record.